RNAcentral lists this ribosomal RNA (253 nucleotides) under uncultured bacterium. RNAcentral describes it as "partial 16S ribosomal RNA". It matches the Rfam family "Bacterial small subunit ribosomal RNA", at positions 524 to 776 of the family's 1533-position model. The record is from RNAcentral.
UACGGGGGAGGCAAGCGUUGUUCGGAAUUACUGGGCGUAAAGGGCUCGUAGGCGGCCAACUAAGUCAGACGUGAAAUCCCUCGGCUUAACCGGGGAACUGCAUCUGAUACUGGAUGGCUUGAGAUUGGGAGAGGGAUGCGGAAUUCCAGGUGUAGCGGUGAAAUGCGUAGAUAUCUGGAGGAACACCGGUGGCGAAGGCGGCAUCCUGGACCAACACUGACGCUGAGGAGCGAAAGCCAGGGGAGCAAACGGG